RNAcentral lists this ribosomal RNA (513 nucleotides) under uncultured bacterium. RNAcentral describes it as "bacterial SSU rRNA". It matches the Rfam family "Bacterial small subunit ribosomal RNA", at positions 8 to 521 of the family's 1533-position model. The record is from RNAcentral.
AGAGUUUGAUCCUGGCUCAGGAUGAACGCUGGCGGCGUGCUUAACACAUGCAAGUCGAACGAAGCACUUACAAUUGAUUCUUCGGAAGAAAGAGUUUGUGACUGAGUGGCGGACGGGUGAGUAACGCGUGGGUAACCUGCCUCAUACAGGGGGAUAACAGUUAGAAAUGACUGCUAAUACCGCAUAAGCGCACAGUAUUGCAUGAUACCGUGUGAAAAACUCCGGUGGUAUGAGAUGGACCCGCGUCUGAUUAGCUAGUUGGUGAGGUAACGGCUCACCAAGGCAACGAUCAGUAGCCGGCCUGAGAGGGUGAACGGCCACAUUGGGACUGAGACACGGCCCAAACUCCUACGGGAGGCAGCAGUGGGGAAUAUUGCACAAUGGGGGAAACCCUGAUGCAGCGACGCCGCGUGAGUGAAGAAGUAUUUCGGUAUGUAAAGCUCUAUCAGCAGGGAAGAAAAUGACGGUACCUGACUAAGAAGCACCGGCUAAAUACGUGCCAGCAGCCGCGGU